UUCACCAUACUUUGUUUAAUAAGUUUUGCUACUUCAAGCCUAUCUACUAGAAUACUGAAGUAUUGCGUGAUUAUCUUUGCUACUUCAGCUAUGUAUGCUGAAGUUACUCAAAAAGAGUAGGUACGCUUGUAAUUUUUUUUACAAAGUAAGCACAAGUUAAAAUGUGACUCAAAAACAGAUAUAAAUACAAAUAAAAGUAGGAUUUAUAUAUAUUCUACCCUUUCAAUACCCUACUAAUAAGAUUACACUAGGUAUAUUUAUUUUCGUCUGAACACGGCAUAGAAAUGGGCCACGCAUCUAUGUGAAUUAGUAUUUUACAAGAAAUUA
This 327-nucleotide long non-coding RNA is filed under the name Nicotiana benthamiana. RNAcentral's name for it is "long non-coding RNA (NBEN_LNC028718)". The record is from RNAcentral. Lineage: Eukaryota; Viridiplantae; Streptophyta; Magnoliopsida; Solanales; Solanaceae.